GACGAACGCUGGCGGCGUGCUUAACACAUGCAAGUCGAACGGAAAGGCCCUGCUUUUGUGGGGUGCUCGAGUGGCGAACGGGUGAGUAACACGUGAGUAACCUGCCCUUGACUUUGGGAUAACUUCAGGAAACUGGGGCUCAUACCGGAUAUGAUCUCCUGCUGCGUGGUGGUGGUUGGAAAGUUUCGGCGGUUGGGGAUGGACUCGCGGCUUAUCAGCUUGUUUGUGGGGUAGUGGCUUACCAAGGCUUUGACGGGUAGCCGGCCUGAGAGGGUGACCGGCGACAUUGGGACUGAGAUAGGGCCCAGACUGCUACGGGAGGCAGCAGUGGGGAAUAUUGCACAAUGGGCGGAAGCCUGAUGCAGAAACGCCGCGUGCGGGAUGACGGGCUUCGGGUUGUAAACCGCUUUCGACUGUGACGAAGAGUGAGUGACGGUAAUGGGUAAAGAAGCACCGGCUAACUACGUG
Molecule: ribosomal RNA, 468 nt
Filed under: uncultured bacterium
Lineage: Bacteria
Description: partial 16S ribosomal RNA
Rfam family: Bacterial small subunit ribosomal RNA
Source: RNAcentral